ACAGUAUUGCAAUAUUUGGCUUUAUCAACCCUGCAGCAGCUGUGUGUCUGAUCAUUCUUUACAUGAGAAUAUUCUUUUCGUUUUACAUGACAUCAAGAGAUGCAGAAAAUCGAACGUAUGACCAUCGCGUUAUGGCAAAAAGAUUUGCUGCAAUUGUUUUCACAGAUGUCUGCUGCUGGAUUCCCGUUUCAACACUUUUUUAUAUAGAUAUCAAUAAAAAUCAUCUUGUUAACAAAUUAUUUAUGAUUUUUGCUGUGCCCAUUAACUCGGCCAUCAAUCCGUUCCUCUAUACAUUAAGUGCUCCCACGUUUUGGAAUGUAGUGAAGAAAUUCUUUCUCAGAAUUUUCAAUAAAUGGAAGCAAUAAUGGUUGUGACAAAAGGCUGUGGAUUUAUGAAUAUACUUAAUUAUUAAGUUGUUUUCGUCAAUGGAAAUUCUUAUCAUGAAUUAAGCACAUUUCACUCCUCUAUUUUAAAGUAGAUCAGCUCGAUUUGACUGAUCUAACACUACAUAAUAAUCACAGUUAGUAAACUGCUAAAGUUUCAUAUAAUGUUGCACUUGUAGCUAAAUUAACAAUUAAAAUUGUAGAUGGAAUUUUGAACAACUGUAACUGUAUUGAUAUUGCUAUAGCCAUGGAUAAAUAAACUCAUGUGUGUAUUUCACAAUAUGAUCACAAGA
Long non-coding RNA from Xenia sp. Carnegie-2017, 676 nucleotides. RefSeq lists it as uncharacterized. The record is from RefSeq and is a predicted model, not a curated record. NCBI's taxonomy places the organism in Eukaryota, Metazoa, Cnidaria, Anthozoa, Malacalcyonacea, Xeniidae. The transcript has 2 exons.